UGCAGUCGAGGCGGUAGAUAUUCUUAGCGUUGUUCUUAUCGGGUCACGGGCGGACGGCGGAGUAGCACGUGGGUAACCUGCCCAUAAGACUGGGAUAACUCCGGGAAACCGGGGCUAAUACCGGAGAACAUUUUGAACCGCAUGGUUCAAAAUUGAAAGGCGGCUUCUGCUGUCGCUUAUGGAUGGACCCGCGUCGAAGUAACUACUUGGCGAGGUAACGGCUCACCAGGGCACCGAUGCGUAGCCCACCUGAGAGGGUGAUCGGCCACACUGGGACUGACACACGGCCCAAACUCCUACGGGAGGCAGCAAUAGGGAAUCUUCCGCAAUGGACGAAAGUCUGACGGAGCAGCCCCGCGUGAGUGAUGAAGGCUUUCUGGUCGUAAAACUCUGUUGUUAGGGAAGAACAAGUGCUACUUGAAUAAGCUGGCACCUUGACGGUACCUAACCAGAAAGCCACGGCUAACUACGUGCCAUCAGCCGCGGUAAUACGUACGUGGCAAGCGUUAUCCCGAAUUAUUGGGCGUAAAGCGCGCGCAGGUGGUUUCUUAAGUCUGAUGUGAACGCCCACGGCUCCUCCGUGGAGGGUCAUUGGAAACUGGGACACUUGUGUGCAGAAUAGGAAAGUGGAAUUCCAUGUGUAGCGGUGAUAUGCGUAGAGAUAUGGAGGAACACCAAUGGCAAAGGCGACUUUCUGGUCUGUCACUGACACUGAAGCGCGAAAGCGUGGGGAGCAAACAGGAUUAGAUACCCUGGUAGUCCACUCCGUAAACGAUGAGUGCUAGGUGUUAGAGGGUUUCCGCCCUUUAGCGCUGAAGAUUACGCAUUAAGCACUCCACCUGGAGAGUACGGCCGCGAGGCUGAACCUCAAUGGAAUGAGCGGUGGCACUCACAAGCGCUGGAGCAUGCGGUUUAAUUCGAAGCAACGCGAAGAACCUUACCAGGUCUUGACAUCCUCUGAAAACCCUAGAGAUAGGGCUUCUCCUUCGGGAGCAGAGUGACAGGUGGUGCAUGGUUGUCGUCAGCUCGUGUCGUGAGAUGUUGGGUUAAGUCCCGCAACGAGCGCAACCCUUGAUCUUAGUUGCCAUCAUUAAGUUGGGCACUCUAAGGUGACUGCCGGUGACAAACCGGAGGAAGGUGGGGAUGACGUCAAAUCAUCAUGCCCCUUAUGACCUGGGCUACACACGUGCUACAAUGGACGGUACAAAGAGCUGCAAGACCGCGAGGUGGAGCUAAUCUCAUAAAACCGUUCUCAGUUCGGAUUGUAGGCUGCAACUCGCCUACAUGAAGCUGGAAUCGCUAGUAAUCGCGGAUCAGCAUGCCGCGGUGAAUACGUUCCCGGGCCUUGUACACACCGCCCGUCACACCACGAGAGUUUGUAACACCCGAAGUCGGUGGGGUAACCUUUUGGAGCCAGCCGC
RNAcentral lists this ribosomal RNA (1421 nucleotides) under Bacillus sp. A14ZZ. Its description in RNAcentral is "bacterial SSU rRNA". It matches the Rfam family "Bacterial small subunit ribosomal RNA". The record is from RNAcentral. Lineage: Bacteria; Bacillati; Bacillota; Bacilli; Caryophanales; Bacillaceae.